Molecule: ribosomal RNA, 460 nt
Filed under: uncultured bacterium
Lineage: Bacteria
Description: partial 16S ribosomal RNA
Rfam family: Bacterial small subunit ribosomal RNA
Source: RNAcentral
CCUACGGGUGGCAGCAGUGAGGAAUAUUGGUCAAUGGACGAGAGUCUGAACCAGCCAAGUAGCGUGAAGGAUGACUGCCCUAUGGGUUGUAAACUUCUUUUAUAUGGGAAUAAAAUGUUCCACGUGUGGGAUUUUGUAUGUACCAUAUGAAUAAGGAUCGGCUAACUCCGUGCCAGCAGCCGCGGUAAUACGGAGGAUCCGAGCGUUAUCCGGAUUUAUUGGGUUUAAAGGGAGCGUAGGUGGAUUGUUAAGUCAGUUGUGAAAGUUUGCGGCUCAACCGUAAAAUUGCAGUUGAAACUGGCAGUCUUGAGUACAGUAGAGGUGGGCGGAAUUCGUGGUGUAGCGGUGAAAUGCUUAGAUAUCACGAAGAACUCCGAUUGCGAAGGCAGUUCACUGGACUGCAACUGACACUGGGGCUCGAAAGUGUGGGUAUCAAACAGGAUUAGAUACCCUAGUAGUC